RNAcentral lists this long non-coding RNA (730 nucleotides) under Homo sapiens (human). RNAcentral's name for it is "HSALNT0351754". Lineage: Eukaryota; Metazoa; Chordata; Mammalia; Primates; Hominidae. The record is from RNAcentral.
ACUCACUCCUCCUCCGCCUCCAGCGCCACCUCGUAUCUCCUCAUUCCCGACAUGUCCUGGGCUCCGAACGUCUCCUGGGGAGCGGCAUGAUUGAAUCAGGGAUUCCCUAGCCCCAGGUCCCCUUCUCCGUCAUUCUCAGGACGAGGCUGCCCAGUUCUCAGAAAAAUGUGAAAAGAGAGACUGGCCUAGCCUCCCAGCCUACAUCUUUCUCCCAUCCUGGAUGUUUCCUGCCCUUGAAUGUUGGACUCCAAGUUCUUCAGUUUUGGAACUCGGACUGUCUCUCCUUGCUCCUCAGCCUGCAGACGGCCUAUUGUGGGACCUUGUGAUCGUGUUGUUGUGGUGGUAUUACUACUACUCAGCAAGAUUCUGGUUUUACUUCUCAUCUUGGGAGUUACCAUCAAGACGUUAGGUAUGGCUGUGUGACCCACUUUGGCCAAUGAAAUGUGAACAGAAAUGGCAUAUGUCACUUGUGGACAAAAACAUUUAAGCAAGAAUUUCCCUUGCUGUCUUCCUUGACUGGAGCGACCAUGGAAGCCUGUGUUGAGAUGAAGAGGCUGCCAACAGAUCAAAACACUUGAAAACUUGAGCAGCCACAUGGACUACAACUGUGCUGGAGACUUGCCUGGACCCACAGCAGGCUUGGUAUGCAUGGGGAAUAGAAUUUUGUUGUAUUACACUCCUCAGAUUUGGAUGUCAUUUGUUAUUACAGCAUUACCUAGCCUAUUCUGAC